Molecule: ribosomal RNA, 443 nt
Filed under: uncultured bacterium
Lineage: Bacteria
Description: partial 16S ribosomal RNA
Rfam family: Bacterial small subunit ribosomal RNA
Source: RNAcentral
CCUACGGGAGGCAGCAGUGGGGAAUAUUGGGCAAUGGGCGCAAGCCUGACCCAGCAACGCCGCGUGAAGGAAGAAGGCUUUCGGGUUGUAAACUUCUUUUCUCAGGGACGAAGCAAGUGACGGUACCUGAGGAAUAAGCCACGGCUAACUACGUGCCAGCAGCCGCGGUUAUACGUAGGUGGCAAGCGUUAUACGGAUUUACUGGGUGUAAAGGGCGUGUAGGCGGGACUACAAGUCAGAUGUGAAAACCACGGGCUCAACCUGUGGCCUGCAUUUGAAACUGUAGUUCUUGAGUACUGGGGAGGCAGACGGAAUUCCUAGGGUAGCGGUGAAAUGCGUAGAUAUUAGGAGGAACACCAGUGGCGAAGGCGGUCUGCUGGACAGCAACUGACGCUGAGGCGCGAAAGCGUGGGGAGCAAACAGGAUUAGAUACCCCGGUAGUC